CUUGGGCUCAAAUAAUCCUCCCACCUCAGCCCUGUGAGUAACUGGGACUACAAGUAUAUACCACCAUGCCCAGCCAAAGAUGUUUUUAAAAGUUCACACUCAAGGGGCUGGUUGUAGCUCAGUGGUAGUGCGCUUUCCCAGCACAUGUGAGGCACUGGGUUUGAUCCUCAGAACAUAAAAAUAAAUAAACAAACAAAUAAAUAAAUAAAGGUAUUGUGUCCAUCUACAACUAAAAAAAUACUUUAAAAAAGUUUACACUCAAUAAUAGUGAAUAAGGCUGCAGUAACAUGGUUAUACUUAGACUUUUUCAUGAUAUAUAUAAAUUGGUACAAUCCUUUUGGCACAUAAUUUGAUAAAUACUAAGAGGCUUGAAUCUUGACCUUGUAAUUCUUAUUCAGACAAUCUAUUUUUAUAAUGGAAGUUUCUAUUAUUAUGAAAUAACCAGAAACUUGGAUAAAAAUGCAUACACACAGAUGUAUACACACAAUCUAUUUUUAUAAUGGAAGUUUCUAUUAUUAUGAAAUAACCAGAAACUUGGGUAAAAAUGUAUACACACAGACGUUUAUGGGAGUGUUAUUUCUAGUUGUAAUAAAUGUUGUGUCACACAUUUGGUCACAGUGUGAUUCUAACAAUAAGAACAUGGUUAAACAAAUUAUAGCACAUCUAUAAGAUUUAAUAUUGAUAUAGAUAGAAAGACUCUUCAAAAACAUCAUGGCUCCCUCCCCAGAUUACAUUAGAGAUGAUCACAUACAUAGCCAGCUCUUACUGCAUAACAACCCUCCAGUUUUCAUACCUUAAAACAUUCUCAAAAUCUGCGGAUUGGUUGGAUGGUUCUUUUGGUCUGGACUGGCUCAGCUGGAGCAGAAUAAUUGAGGAUGUCCUCACAUACUCAUCUGGGACAGCCCAACCUCUCUAUGUGGCCUUUCAUCCUCUAGCUCAAUUUCAGGCUGUUCUAAUAGCAUUGAGAGAGAAGUUCCAAUACAUAGCACGUGUCAAACCUCAGUAUUACAUUUGCUAAUGUCCCAUUAGCCAAAGUAAGUCACAUGGCCAAGCUAAGGGACAAAGGUUGGAAAAUAGAUUCAAUCUCUUAACUAGAAGAUCUAUAAAAUAUUGUGGUUAUUAAAAUCAGUGACACCAUAUGACUUACUUUGGUUAACAGAACAUGAAAACUCUUGGGACAGAAGAUCUAAGAGCCAACACAUGCUUUCCUUAGUCUCUCUCCUGCCUUCACAACAACCAGAUACAUUUGAGAUGGCAGCGGCUCUGUUCUGUUCUGGAGUGAGCAAGAUGAACAGGGUGUCUAAGCCAUUCUGGGCUGGACAUGUAACCUGUACAAGGAACAAACUCUUGCUCUAUGAAGUCACACAACCAA
RNAcentral lists this long non-coding RNA (1372 nucleotides) under Marmota monax (woodchuck). The record is from RNAcentral. Lineage: Eukaryota; Metazoa; Chordata; Mammalia; Rodentia; Sciuridae.